GAAGAACAGAGCACUGCAGGAGGGAUGCAAAAUGCCCUCAGGGCUGGCAGCAAGACUCAGCUUGGUUCCAGUCUGAUCUCACUGGAGCAGCUUGCUCAAAGCUAUAAUGCUGAGCUUUAGUACCAGUUGCAAGGCACUUCUCUGGGCCCUACUCCUUCCAGGUCCCUUCCCUGCCAGCACACGGAGGGUGGCUGAUUAGGGCUGCUUUCCCCCUGCGGCCUCAGCACUUGUUCAUCACCUCUGGGUGCGGUGCCUGGACUGACGCACCACAGCCCUUUCACGCUCCCCUCUGGGGCCUCCUGGGGCUGGGUAGGGAGGGCUGUGGAGGAGCAAGGCCUGACACAUGGAUCCUAUCAGUGAUCUCACUCUGACUGGCCAUCACUAAACUUCCCUUGACCUGAUGGAAACAGCCUCUGUGGGUGUGGGAUUUACACAGCCUCUAGGCCCCCAGGAUGGAGGAAGGCAACAUAAAAACAGAGCUCCUGGUUGCUGUCUCCAGGCUGAGACCACCAAGACUGCCCACAGAGAUCAUGAAUGCCAGCUCCACUCCUCAAAAAGGGACAUUGAAGGUCACACAGAGUGACACCUUAAAGUCACACAGCAAGCUGAGCAAUCACCCACACCUUUCAUCAAUCAGUCUGGGGCUGCUGGAUGCAAGCAGAGGUCUCAGGAUGGGCCCGAAACCAGUGCUGGAGUCCAGGCCACGAGCAAGGACCUUGGGGCCAAGGUGGUGUUUAGUGGACUCUUAGCAAACAGACUGGUUGAAUUUCAACAGAUUAAAAAAAAUUGGGGGACCAGGAUUGGGAUUCACUGGGGACAUUAUGUGAGGGUGGGGCUGGGAGGGAAGAGGGAGAUGAGGCUGCAGUCCCUGUGUGAUAUGGGGAGUUUCUCAACCCAGAGGUCCCCCAGUCCUCGUCCUCUCACCAUGCCCCACGCAGCACUGUCCCUACAGGUGACUGUUGCUCCUUGCUGA
This 973-nucleotide long non-coding RNA is filed under the name Fukomys damarensis (Damara mole-rat). RNAcentral describes it as "lncRNA (ENSFDAG00000024722.1)". The record is from RNAcentral. Lineage: Eukaryota; Metazoa; Chordata; Mammalia; Rodentia; Bathyergidae.